Molecule: ribosomal RNA, 253 nt
Filed under: uncultured bacterium
Lineage: Bacteria
Description: partial 16S ribosomal RNA
Rfam family: Bacterial small subunit ribosomal RNA
Source: RNAcentral
UACGUAGGGUGCAGGCGUUAAUCGGAAUUACUGGGCGUAAAGCGUGCGCAGGCGGUUUCUUAAGUCCAAUGUGAAAGCCCCGGGCUUAACCUGGGAACUGCGUUUGAAACUGGGAGACUUGAGUGUGGCAGAGGGGAGUGGAAUUCCACGUGUAGCAGUGAAAUGCGUAGAUAUGUGGAGGAACACCGAUGGCGAAGGCAGCCCCCUGGGUUAACACUGACGCUCAUGCACGAAAGCGUGGGGAGCAAACAGG